RNAcentral lists this ribosomal RNA (254 nucleotides) under uncultured bacterium. RNAcentral describes it as "partial 16S ribosomal RNA". It matches the Rfam family "Bacterial small subunit ribosomal RNA", at positions 524 to 776 of the family's 1533-position model. The record is from RNAcentral.
UACGUAGGAUCCGAGCGUUAUCCGGAAUUACUGGGCGUAAAGAGUUGCGUAGGUGGUUUGUUAAGCGAGCAGUGAAAUCUUUCGGCUCAACCGAAAGGCUAUUGCUUGAACUGGCAGACUAGAGUUUGGUAGAGGUAACUGGAAUUCCAAGUGUAGGAGUGAAAUCCGUAGAUAUUUGGAGGAACACCAAUGGCGUAGGCAGGUUACUGGCCCAACACUGACACUGAGGCACGAAAGCGUGGGGAGCAAACGGG